UACGAAGGGGGCUAGCGUUGUUCGGAAUCACUGGGCGUAAAGCGUAUGUAGGCGGAUUGUUAAGUCAGGGGUGAAAUCCCGAGGCUCAACCUCGGAACUGCCCUUGAUACUGGCUUUCUUGAGUUCGGGAGAGGUGAGUGGAACUCCUAGUGUAGAGGUGAAAUUCGUAGAUAUUAGGAAGAACACCAGUGGCGAAGGCGGCUCACUGGCCCGAUACUGACGCUGAUGUACGAAAGCGUGGGGAGCAAACAGG
This 253-nucleotide ribosomal RNA is filed under the name uncultured bacterium. RNAcentral describes it as "partial 16S ribosomal RNA". It matches the Rfam family "Bacterial small subunit ribosomal RNA", at positions 524 to 776 of the family's 1533-position model. The record is from RNAcentral.